GACGAACGCUGGCGGCGUGCCUAAUACAUGCAAGUCGAGCGGAACCAUUGGAGCUUGCUCCUUUGGUUUAGCGGCGGACGGGUGAGUAACACGUGGGCAACCUGCCCUGCAGAUCGGGAUAACUCCGGGAAACCGGUGCUAAUACCGAAUAGUUUGCGGCCUCUCAUGAGGCUGCACGGAAAGACGGUUUCGGCUGUCACUGCAGGAUGGGCCCGCGGCGCAUUAGCUAGUUGGUGAGGUAACGGCCCACCAAGGCCACGAUGCGUAGCCGACCUGAGAGGGUGAUCGGCCACACGGAGACUGAGACACGGCCCAGACUCCUACGGGAGGCAGCAGUAGGGAAUCUGCCGCAAUGGACGAAAGUCUGACGGAGCAACGCCGCGUGAGGGAAGAAGGUUUUCGGAUCGUAAAACUCUGUUGUGAGGGAAGAACAAGUACCAAGUAACUACUGGUACCUUGACGGUACCUCACCAGAAAGCCACGGCUAACUACGUG
This 495-nucleotide ribosomal RNA is filed under the name uncultured bacterium. RNAcentral's name for it is "partial 16S ribosomal RNA". It matches the Rfam family "Bacterial small subunit ribosomal RNA", at positions 28 to 507 of the family's 1533-position model. The record is from RNAcentral.